UCACCAUCGAGCCCUGCUCGGCGAUGGGCCUCGUCCUCGCGGACGGGCCCGAAACCUGUGGGCGCCGUCGUCCGGCCCUGAGCGUAGCAAGAGAAAUCCCUCGCUCGGUGGAUCGUCUGGCGGUCGCCCCGACCAUUUUUUAAAA
This 145-nucleotide unclassified non-coding RNA is filed under the name uncultured Venturiaceae. RNAcentral's name for it is "sequence contains ITS2". The record is from RNAcentral. Lineage: Eukaryota; Fungi; Ascomycota; Dothideomycetes; Venturiales; Venturiaceae.